This 462-nucleotide ribosomal RNA is filed under the name uncultured bacterium. RNAcentral's name for it is "bacterial SSU rRNA". It matches the Rfam family "Bacterial small subunit ribosomal RNA", at positions 30 to 485 of the family's 1533-position model. The record is from RNAcentral.
AUUGAACGCUGGCGGCAUGCCUUACACAUGCAAGUCGAACGGCAGCACGGGUGCUUGCACCUGGUGGCGAGUGGCGAACGGGUGAGUAAUAUAUCGGAACGUACCUUAUCGUGGGGGAUAACGCAGCGAAAGCUGCGCUAAUACCGCAUACGCCCUGAGGGGGAAAGCGGGGGACCGUAAGGCCUCGCGCGAUUAGAGCGGCCGAUAUCUGAUUAGCUUGUUGGUGGGGUAAAAGCCCACCAAGGCGACGAUCAGUAGCUGGUCUGAGAGGACGAUCAGCCACACUGGGACUGAGACACGGCCCAGACUCCUACGGGAGGCAGCAGUGGGGAAUUUUGGACAAUGGGGGCAACCCUGAUCCAGCAAUGCCGCGUGAGUGAAGAAGGCCUCGGUUGUAAGCUCUUUGUCUAGGGAAGAAACGAGACAGCUCUAACACAGUCUGCGAAUGACGGUACCGUCGAA